CUGAUGAAGAUCAUCAAAGGUUAGUGCUACAUUUAGCUGUGGUUUGGGUUUAUGUGACAUUAUAUGCUAGCUUGAAAAAUGGGUGUCUGAUUAUUUCUGGCUGGGUACUCUGCUGACAUAAUCUAAUGUUUUGCUUUCGUUGUAAAGCCUUUUUGAAAUCGGACAGUGUGGUUAGAUUAACGAGAGUCUUGUCUUUAAAAUGGUGUAAAAUAGUCAUAUGUUUGAAAAAUUGAAGUUUUUGCAUUUUUGAGGAAUUUGAAUAAUGCGCCACGGGAUUACACUGGCUGUUGAGUAGGUGGGACGCAAGCGUCCCACCUAGCACAUAGAGGUUAGGAAGGACGUCUGUAUCUUUGUAGUGACUGGUUGUAUUGAUACACCAUCCAAAGUGUCAUUAAUAACUUCACCUUGCUCAAAAGGAUCUUCAAUGUCUUUUUUAAUUUUAUUUAGGGCACAGAGAUGAGGUAGUCAUUCAAAAAUCAUGUUAAACACUUAUGGCACACAGAGUCCAUGAAACUUAUGUGACUUGUUAAGCAAAUGUUUACUCCUGAACUUACUUAGGCUUGCCAUAACAAAGGGGUUAAAUACUUAUUGACUCCAGACAUUUAAUCUUUUCAUUUUUAAUUAGUUAGUACAAAUUUAUACAAACACAACUGCAUUUUGACUUAUGGGGUUGUGUGUGUGUGUGUGUGUGUGUGUGUGUGUGUGUGUGUGUGUGUGUGUGUGUGUGUGUGUGUGUGAGCCAUUUUAACUUCAGGCUGUAACACAACAAAAUGUCUAAAUACUUUCUGAAGGCACUGUAUAUGCUGCCUAGAACAGAAGGGUUGGUUUGACCAAAGUGCUCAAUUCUAUAUGGAAAUCAACACACAUUGAAAGAGUAAUGGUAGGAAUGACACAGUUUGAGUUUAGAGACUCAGUAAGGUACAGUAGAAACACUGUAUGAAUGAGUAUAACGCAGAAGGACAUGUUUGAGUUUAGAGACUCAGUAAGGUACAGUAGAAACACUGUAUGAAUGAGUGUAACGCAGAAGGACAUGUUUGGAGAGACAAUGUUAGGAUGACACAGUGUGAUGAUAUGAAUGAUAAAGAAAUGGUCACAGUCACACCGAAGUACCAAGGGAGCAAAACAUUUUAUAUUGACAGUUCCUCUACCAAGGGUUGUAUCUGUGGUGUGGCCAUGCCCAUGCCGACGGCAGGAUCACAUGUUAUUUUGUACUAUGACCACAAGAUGGCCCCCUUGCAUCGGAAUAUCGUUUCUUAAAAUCAAACAAAAUCAUUUCUGUGGACAGUCAUUUGUUAUGAACUACCACUGCCAGAAAUACAUUAGAUAACUUUUUAUUUUGUCCUUUUUGAAUAGAUUCAUAUUUUAACCGAUUAACAUUUUGUGUGAUAUGUCUGCUUUAGAUUUUUCUUCCCUGAAGUGGAUGUUUAACACUCAGUGAGAUCUGAAUUCAGUGGAACUGUGAUUGCAGUAGCCUAUGAAGGCAGUAGCUGCUCUUCCAUGAGUAAUGUCUGUGACUGACUAAUGUCAGAUAGACUCCCCAAGCAGAUGCUUCCAGUUUCCACUAUGAGAAGUGUUCUGCGUGUGUUGUGGGGGCAGUAGUUCGUAAACAAAGACACUGCGUAAUGUAGGGUUCGAUUGAAUUCAACUCUCUGACUUAAAUUAGUUGAAGGGAUUUGGACAGUGAUUUCCAUUGUUUAACUGAGGAUGUUGGUUCAAUUUUUUUUCUGCCUGCUUCUCCCUAGAACCACUGGUCUGAAUAUUCCAAUCUGACAGCUAUAAUCACAACAACCUGCUGCAUUAUAACUCUAUUUUCAUUUAAACAUGAUUGUAAAGUCUGAUAAAAGAUAUCGUUGAUGCAUGGUACUGUGUUGAUUUCAUCCAACAUUUCGUAGAGUGUUCUGGUGUAUCGCAAAAGGAAGCUUCUCAGUUAGAGAAAAUCAACUUUAAAAAUGUAUCCAUCCAUAAACAUUUCAACAUCCUGUACACCUGUGUUAGUAUGAAUGACCUGGGACGGGGUGUUCUACUUAGGUCUGGAUUUACCACUUUCUCACCAUCUUCUGAGCAGAAGAAAGAAGAAAACUAUCAAGAAUGAUAAGUCAUUCACCAGAUUUUCUUAUAAUAAUUUUAGGAAAGGAAUACACACACUUCAGACAUAACACAGGCCUUUCCACCUGUGGUGUUCCCUUACAUGUCUCCCUCUCUCCUUUUGCCUUCUCAUUUGAAGAUCAAUCAAACUGCAAGAAGAAGGAUUUGAUGCUCCAGCCUCUGGAUCUACCUUGGUGUGCAAAUCAGCUGGAAUCAGUUAAAAGAGAAACAUGUUGCUUCUGUGGCUGUGGUGGACAAGAGAGAAUACAGUACAGAUGCUCUAAAGUUCAUUAAAUAUUUACACCACUCAUUCAUUAGCAAGCAAUUCAUGUUAUAUAUCGCAUGCAAUAAGUUGUGGAAGGAAAAACAACGUGUCGGCUGUCUGUAGUUUCUGCCCCUGCCUAAGACGAGGAGACUGAAUGACAUAUCUAUGAAAUAUGUGUGCACAUGGAAUACAUGAAUAUAUUGAUAUGUGGAUAGGUGAAAUAUUAUACUUACCACUUUGUCAUUACUGAUGUGUAAUUACUGGGUUGUUCGUGUUGUUAUAGAUGAAAAUUAAAUGUAUUUUCAAUGCCCUUUGGAAACACCAAACCCCAAAGAAUACGGAUGCAUGUGCAUACCUCUUAUCCUCAUGCACAGUCCUAGGUGAACAGUGAUUGAUUUGUCCAAUUUGGUUAGAAGCGUGUCUCCAUGCUUUGAAGCCACGCUUAGCAUUCAUUCUAAUCAUGUGUCCUGACACGUUGAAAUGCAACAUCUGCCUUUUCAGUCCCCCGCCAUACAAUUAGCAAGAAAAGAUCAAUGGAUUGGCUUGCUACCAUUUUGCAUAUGAACAACAAAGCAUUUGUAAUGAGUAUAGAUGGUGCUUCAGUUUACCUGAUAUCCUUGGUUUACAAACUGAACUUCUCAAAAUAACUUGUUUGAAACAGUCAAUGAGCCCCCAUAACAUUGGGGGUCAAGAAAUGUACCUAAUCAGGACAUUUUGGGGACCCCAAGAUCAUCUCCAGUAUGAUAUUGUCCACAAGCCGGCAAUCCAGUCUUUUUUUUCUAUACAGUAUACACUCCCAUACGUGUUUAUUUGGACAGUGAAGCGAAAACUUUUAAUUUGUCUCUAUACUCCAGCAUUUUGGAUUUGAGAUCAAAUGUUUCAUAUGAGGCGACGGUACAGAAUGUCACCUUUUAUUUGAGGGUAUUUUCAUACAUAUCUGUUUUACAAUUUAUAAAUGAAAGCACUUUAUUUAUCUAGUCCCCCAUUUGAAGGUGUCAUAAGUAUUUGGACAAAUUCACUUAUAGUCUAUUAAAGUAGUCAAAAGUGUAGUAUUUUGUCCCAUAAUACUAUAGCACACAAUGACUACAUCAAGCUUGUGACUCUACAAACUUAUUGGAUGCAUUUGCAGUUUGUUUUGGUUGUGUCAUGACUUCUGCCAAAGUCGGUCCCUCUCCUUGUUCAGGCAGCGUUCGGCGGUCGACGUCACCAGCUUUCUAGCCAUCGCCGAUCCACUUUUCAUUUUCCAUUUGUUUUGUCUUUGUUUUCUACACACCUGGUUUCUAUUCCCCAAUUACAUGUUCAUUAUUUAACCCUCUGUUUCCCCCAUGUUUGUGUGCAUGUUUGUAUAUAAUGUUCAGGUCGUUACUUGUUGGCUGGUAUUGUUUGCCGGGUUCGUAAUUACGCACGUGAUUUACGAGUGACCGGCUAUUUCACGCACCUUUAGUAUUUGUUUUAUACUGGUGCUGUUCGUGAAAUAAAUUACCUUGUACACUCAUCUCUGCUC
RNAcentral lists this long non-coding RNA (3854 nucleotides) under Salmo salar (Atlantic salmon). RNAcentral's name for it is "lncRNA (ENSSSAG00000097490.1)". The record is from RNAcentral. Lineage: Eukaryota; Metazoa; Chordata; Actinopteri; Salmoniformes; Salmonidae.